RNAcentral lists this small RNA (67 nucleotides) under unclassified sequences. RNAcentral describes it as "NAD+-I sequence". It matches the Rfam family "nadA riboswitch". The record is from Rfam by way of RNAcentral.
GGUUGCAACAUCCCCGUGGAUUGGGUGACGGUUUGUAACGGGCCGUCAUAGCGAAUUCACUGCAACU